Molecule: ribosomal RNA, 687 nt
Filed under: Pseudomonas sp.
Lineage: Bacteria; Pseudomonadati; Pseudomonadota; Gammaproteobacteria; Pseudomonadales; Pseudomonadaceae
Description: bacterial SSU rRNA
Rfam family: Bacterial small subunit ribosomal RNA
Source: RNAcentral
GCAGGCCUAACACAUGCAAGUCGAGCGGUAGAGAGAAGCUUGCUUCUCUUGAGAGCGGCGGACGGGUGAGUAAUGCCUAGGAAUCUGCCUGGUAGUGGGGGAUAACGUUCGGAAACGGACGCUAAUACCGCAUACGUCCUACGGGAGAAAGCAGGGGACCUUCGGGCCUUGCGCUAUCAGAUGAGCCUAGGUCGGAUUAGCUAGUUGGUGAGGUAAUGGCUCACCAAGGCGACGAUCCGUAACUGGUCUGAGAGGAUGAUCAGUCACACUGGAACUGAGACACGGUCCAGACUCCUACGGGAGGCAGCAGUGGGGAAUAUUGGACAAUGGGCGAAAGCCUGAUCCAGCCAUGCCGCGUGUGUGAAGAAGGUCUUCGGAUUGUAAAGCACUUUAAGUUGGGAGGAAGGGUUGUAGAUUAAUACUCUGCAAUUUUGACGUUACCGACAGAAUAAGCACCGGCUAACUCUGUGCCAGCAGCCGCGGUAAUACAGAGGGUGCAAGCGUUAAUCGGAAUUACUGGGCGUAAAGCGCGCGUAGGUGGUUUGUUAAGUUGGAUGUGAAAUCCCCGGGCUCAACCUGGGAACUGCAUUCAAAACUGACUGACUAGAGUAUGGUAGAGGGGUUGGUGGGAAUUUUCCUGUGUAGCGGUGAAAUGCGUAGAUAUAGGAAGGAACACCAGUGGCGAAG